RNAcentral lists this unclassified non-coding RNA (329 nucleotides) under soil metagenome. RNAcentral describes it as "partial contains 5.8S ribosomal RNA, internal transcribed spacer 2, and large subunit ribosomal RNA". The stretch from base 1 to 120 matches the Rfam family "5.8S ribosomal RNA", at positions 35 to 154 of the family's 154-position model. The record is from RNAcentral.
GAUGAAGAACGUAGCGAAAUGCGAUAAGUAAUGUGAAUUGCAGAAUUCAGUGAAUCAUCGAAUCUUUGAACGCACAUUGCGCCCCCUGGUAUUCCGGGGGGCAUGCCUGUUCGAGCGUCAUUACAACCCUCAAGCUCUGCUUGGUAUUGGGCCCCGCCAGUUCUGGCGGGCCCUAAAGUCAGUGGCGGUGCCUUCCGGCUCCGAGCGUAGUAAUUCUUCUCGCUCUGGAGACCCGGUUGUGUGCUUGCCAACAACCCCCAAUUUUUUAAGGUUGACCUCGUAUCAGGUAGGGAUACCCGCUGAACUUAAGCAUAUCAAUAAGCGGAGGA